UCACACAUAAUUUAAAAAACAAUUUUCUAGCGUUUUCUCUCUCCUCCUUUAUUCGACACUCCAUUUUCUCUCUCCUCCUUCAAUUUCUCUGCUCCCUUUCAACUGCUAUUUGCUUUGAUUCUUCAUCAAUUCUUCUUCAAACUUCAUUGAUUCUUUGUCAAGAUAUCAUGCCUAUUUCAUCUUGACGCGGCUGAAAAUUGGACAAUCGAUUCGAUAGAGAAGAUUCGGAUGUGGCGGUAGAUUUGGAGUUUGUGGCAUUGCACGAAAUUGGAUCUUUGUCAGAAUCUGAGACUUUUCAUCUCAACCCUUAAAUUGGAGGGAAGGAUUGCAAAUACCAGCCACCUUAUUGGUCAUAAUCAUUGAAAAAUUUCGUUCGAAGUAUAUAGUCUCUCAAUUAUUUCAAGUGAAGUAAAUACUAUUGAAUCUGUUAAACAAAUUUGUCAAAAGAAAAAAAAAAGGUUAAAGAAAACUAGUGUUGCAACUUAAGAAAGCUAGUUGUCAAUGAUAUGAUCUUAGUAGCAUCCCCAACGGCAAGCAAUCCAAGAGCAUUCACGAUAGAGAAGACUAAAGUUGAUAUUCUUUUUAUUGGUUACUAUUCUUCAUAAGUCCUUGUCUGCAUAAGACAAGUUGACUUUAGGAAGAAUCACAUUUUGUCAAAAAUUAAUAUUUAUUCUUUGCUAAUUUGUUAAAAUUGAGCAAAUAAUUUGUCAAAAUGAGCAAUUAAAUUUUUGCUUAUUUGUCAAAUGAGCAAUUAAUUUUUGCUCAUUUGUCAAAUGAGCAAAAAAAUUCAAUGAACCUUUGUCAAAUGACCAAACUAUUUAAUGCUCAUUUGUCAAAUGAGCAAAUGAUUCUUGCUCAUUUUGACAAAUUAAUGCUCAUUUGUGAGUGUGUUUGAAUGUUUUAAAUACGUUAGCCUACUAGCUCAAGGGUAGAGUAUUGUUCAAAUGCACAAAAGAUAUGGGUUCGAAUCCCACGUAGGUUCAUUUAUGUAAUGUGGAAACACAAGUUUGUAUGAGAGUUUAAUUUUAACAAAG
Molecule: long non-coding RNA, 1034 nt
Organism: Chenopodium quinoa (quinoa)
Lineage: Eukaryota; Viridiplantae; Streptophyta; Magnoliopsida; Caryophyllales; Amaranthaceae
Exons: 3
Source: RefSeq, a predicted model, not a curated record